This 495-nucleotide ribosomal RNA is filed under the name uncultured bacterium. Its description in RNAcentral is "partial 16S ribosomal RNA". It matches the Rfam family "Bacterial small subunit ribosomal RNA", at positions 28 to 507 of the family's 1533-position model. The record is from RNAcentral.
GACGAACGCUGGCGGCGUGCCUAAUACAUGCAAGUAGAACGCUGAAGGAGGAGCUUGCUUCUCUGGAUGAGUUGCGAACGGGUGAGUAACGCGUAGGUAACCUGCCUGGUAGCGGGGGAUAACUAUUGGAAACGAUAGCUAAUACCGCAUAAGAGUAGAUGUUGCAUGACAUUUGCUUAAAAGGUGCAAUUGCAUCACUACCAGAUGGACCUGCGUUGUAUUAGCUAGUUGGUGGGGUAACGGCUCACCAAGGCGACGAUACAUAGCCGACCUGAGAGGGUGAUCGGCCACACUGGGACUGGGACACGGCCCAGACUCCUACGGGAGGCAGCAGUAGGGAAUCUUCGGCAAUGGACGGAAGUCUGACCGAGCAACGCCGCGUGAGUGAAGAAGGGUUUCGGAUCGUAAAGCUCUGUUGUAAGAGAAGAACGAGUGUGAGAGUGGAAAGUUCACACUGUGACGGUAUCUUACCAGAAAGGGACGGCUAACUACGUG